RNAcentral lists this ribosomal RNA (253 nucleotides) under uncultured bacterium. Its description in RNAcentral is "partial 16S ribosomal RNA". It matches the Rfam family "Bacterial small subunit ribosomal RNA", at positions 524 to 776 of the family's 1533-position model. The record is from RNAcentral.
UACGUAGGGCGCGAGCGUUAAUCGGAAUUACUGGGCGUAAAGUGUGCGUAGGUGGCCGGGCAAGUCGAGUGUGAAAUGCCCGGGCUUAACUUGGGAAUUGCGCUGGAAACUACGUGGCUAGAGGGUGGCAGAGGGAGGUGGAAUUCCACGUGUAGCGGUGAAAUGCGCAGAGAUGUGGAGGAACACCAAUGGCGAAGGCAGCCUCCUGGGCCACCACUGACACUGAUGCACGAAAGCGUGGGGAGCAAACAGG